AGAGUUUGAUCCUGGCUCAGGAUGAACGCUGGCGGCGUGCCUAAUACAUGCAAGUCGAACGAGGUGCCUUUGUAGCAAUACGAGGGUAUCCUAGUGGCGAACGGGUGAGUAACGCGUUGGUGACCUGCCCCGAAGUGUGGGAUAACAGUCCGAAAGGACUGCUAAUACCGCAUGCGGCCAUCGGAUUUAGAAACCGAUGUCCAAAACAGCAAUGCGCUUUGGGAGGGACCUGCGUCCCAUCAGCUAGUUGGUAGGGUAACGGCCUACCAAGGCGACGACGGGUAGGGGACCUGAGAGGGUGACCCCCCACAAUGGAACUGAAAUACGGUCCAUACACCUACGGGUGGCAGCAGUAGGGAAUAUUGCACAAUGGGCGAAAGCCUGAUGCAGCAACGCCGCGUGCACGAUGAAGGUCUUCGGAUCGUAAAGUGCUUUUCUGGGAGAUGAGAAAGGACAGUAUCCCAGGAAUAAGUCUCGGCUAACUACGUGCCAGCAGCCGCGGUAAAACGUAGGAGGCAAGCGUUAUCCGGAUUCACUGGGCGUAAAGCGCGUGCAGGCGGCUCGGUAAGUUGGGCGUGAAAUCUCCUGGCUUAACUAGGAGAGGCCGUCCAAUACUACCGGGCUAGAGAGCAGUAGAGGAAGAUGGAAUUCCCGGUGUAGUGGUGAAAUGCGUAGAUAUCGGGAGGAACACCAGUGGCGAAGGCGAUCUUCUGGACUGUUUCUGACGCUCAGACGCGAAACCUAGGGUAGUAAACGGGAUUAGAGACCCCGGUAAUCCUAGCCGUAAACGAUGUGAACUUGGCGUCGGUAGCUUAAACACUAUCGGUGCCGUAGCAAACGCGAUAAGUUCACCGCCUGGGGACUACGAUUGCAAGAUUAAAACUCCAAGGAAUUGACGGGGGCCCGCACAAGCAGCGGAGCGUGUGGUUUAAUUCGAUGCUACACGAAGAACCUUACCUGGGCUUGACAUGCAAGUGUAGGGAUCCGAAAGGUGACCGACCCGCAAGGGAGCUUGCACAGGUGUUGCAUGGCUGUCGUCAGCUCGUGUCGUGAGAUGUUCGGUUAAGUCCGCUAACGAGCGCAACCCUUGCUGUAUGUUACAUGUGUCAUACGGGACCGCCGGUAUUAAGCCGGAGGAAGGUGGGGAUGACGUCAAGUCAGCACGGCCUUUAUGUCCAGGGCUACACACACGCUACAAUGGGCAGUACAAUGGGUCGCUAAGCCGCGAGGUGGAGCCAAUCCCCAAAGCUGUCCUCAGUUCAGAUCGCAGGCUGCAACCCGCCUGCGUGAAGUCGGAGUUGCUAGUAAAUGCGCGUCAGCUAUAGCGCAUUGAAUACGUUCUCGGGCCUUGUACACACGGCCCGUCACGUCAUGGGAGCUGGUAACACCUGAAGCCGGUAGUCUAACCGCAAGGAGGACGCCGUCGAAGGUGGUGCUGGUGACUGGGACGAAGUCGUAACAAGGUAGGAGUACCGGAAGGUGCGGCUGGAUCACCUCCUU
This 1500-nucleotide ribosomal RNA is filed under the name uncultured soil bacterium. RNAcentral's name for it is "bacterial SSU rRNA". It matches the Rfam family "Bacterial small subunit ribosomal RNA". The record is from RNAcentral.